This 557-nucleotide ribosomal RNA is filed under the name uncultured bacterium. RNAcentral describes it as "bacterial SSU rRNA". It matches the Rfam family "Bacterial small subunit ribosomal RNA", at positions 102 to 694 of the family's 1533-position model. The record is from RNAcentral.
ACGGGUGAGUAACGCGUGGGAAUCUACCCUUUUCUACGGAAUAACGCAGGGAAACUUGUGCUAAUACCGUAUACGCCCUUCGGGGGAAAGAUUUAUCGGGAAAGGAUGAGCCCGCGUUGGAUUAGCUAGUUGGUGGGGUAAAGGCCUACCAAGGCGACGAUCCAUAGCUGGUCCGAGAGGAUGAUCAGCCACAUUGGGACUGAGACACGGCCCAAACUCCUACGGGAGGCAGCAGUGGGGAAUAUUGGACAAUGGGCGCAAGCCUGAUCCAGCCAUGCCGCGUGAGUGAUGAAGGCCCUAGGGUUGUAAAGCUCUUUCACCGGUGAAGAUAAUGACGGUAACCGGAGAAGAAGCCCCGGCUAACUUCGUGCCAGCAGCCGCGGUAAUACGAAGGGGGCUAGCGUUGUUCGGAAUUACUGGGCGUAAAGCGCACGUAGGCGGACAUUUAAGUCAGGGGUGAAAUCCCGGGGCUCAACCCCGGAACUGCCUUUGAUACUGGGUGUCUAGAGUAUGGAAGAGGUGAGUGGAAUUCCGAGUGUAGAGGUGAAAUUCGUAGA